UACGUAGGGUGCGAGCGUUAAUCGGAAUUACUGGGCGUAAAGCGUGCGCAGGCGGUUCGUUAAGUCAGAUGUGAAAGCCCCGGGCUUAACCUGGGAACUGCGUUUGAAACUGGGAGACUCGAGUGUGGCAGAGGGGGGUGGAAUUCCACGUGUAGCAGUGAAAUGCGUAGAUAUGUGGAGGAACACCGAUGGCGAAGGCAGCCCCCUGGGUCAACACUGACGCUCAUGCACGAAAGCGUGGGGAGCAAACAGG
Molecule: ribosomal RNA, 253 nt
Filed under: uncultured bacterium
Lineage: Bacteria
Description: partial 16S ribosomal RNA
Rfam family: Bacterial small subunit ribosomal RNA
Source: RNAcentral